RNAcentral lists this ribosomal RNA (466 nucleotides) under uncultured bacterium. Its description in RNAcentral is "partial 16S ribosomal RNA". It matches the Rfam family "Bacterial small subunit ribosomal RNA", at positions 36 to 507 of the family's 1533-position model. The record is from RNAcentral.
UCUUCCCUCUUUCUUCGUGCUUCCCCCCUGCACGUCGACCGGAAAGGCUCCUGCUUGCCGGGGUACUCGAGUGGCGAACGGGUGAGUAACACGUGGGUGAUCUGCCCUGCACUUCGGGAUAAGCCUGGGAAACUGGGUCUAAUACCGGAUAGGACGAUGGUUUGGAUGCCAUUGUGGAAAGUUUUUUCGGUGUGGGAUGAGCUCGCGGCCUAUCAGCUUGUUGGUGGGGUAAUGGCCUACCAAGGCGUCGACGGGUAGCCGGCCUGAGAGGGUGUACGGCCACAUUGGGACUGAGAUACGGCCCAGACUCCUACGGGAGGCAGCAGUGGGGAAUAUUGCACAAUGGGCGCAAGCCUGAUGCAGCGACGCCGCGUGGGGGAUGACGGCCGUCGGGUUGUAAACUCCUUUCGCUAGGGACGAAGCGCAAGUGACGGUACCUGGAGAAGAAGCACCGGCUAACUACGUG